GGUGACGAGCGGCGGACGGGUGAGUAAUGUCUGGGAAACUGCCUGAUGGAGGGGGAUAACUACUGGAAACGGUAGCUAAUACCGCAUAACGUCGCAAGACCAAAGAGGGGGACCUUCGGGCCUCUUGCCAUCAGAUGUGCCCAGAUGGGAUUAGCUAGUAGGUGGGGUAAUGGCUCACCUAGGCGACGAUCCCUAGCUGGUCUGAGAGGAUGACCAGCCACACUGGAACUGAGACACGGUCCAGACUCCUACGGGAGGCAGCAGUGGGGAAUAUUGCACAAUGGGCGCAAGCCUGAUGCAGCCAUGCCGCGUGUGUGAAGAAGGCCUUCGGGUUGUAAAGCACUUUCAGCGAGGAGGAAGGUGGUGAACUUAAUACGUUCAUCAAUUGACGUUACUCGCAGAAGAAGCACCGGCUAACUCCGUGCCAGCAGCCGCGGUAAUACGGAGGGUGCAAGCGUUAAUCGGAAUUACUGGGCGUAAAGCGCACGCAGGCGGUUUGUUAAGUCAGAUGUGAAAUCCCCGGGCUCAACCUGGGAACUGCAUUUGAAACUGGCAAGCUAGAGUCUCGUAGAGGGGGGGUAGAAUUCCAGGUGUAGCGGUGAAAUGCGUAGAGAUCUGGAGGAAUACCGGUGGCGAA
This 637-nucleotide ribosomal RNA is filed under the name Serratia sp. (in: enterobacteria). RNAcentral's name for it is "bacterial SSU rRNA". It matches the Rfam family "Bacterial small subunit ribosomal RNA", at positions 87 to 719 of the family's 1533-position model. Lineage: Bacteria; Pseudomonadati; Pseudomonadota; Gammaproteobacteria; Enterobacterales; Yersiniaceae. The record is from RNAcentral.